CUACGGGAUGCACCAGUGAGGAAUAUUGCACAAUGGGGGGAACCCUGAUGCAGCAACGCCGCGUGGAGGAUGACGCAUUUCGGUGUGUAAACUCCUUUUAUAUGUCAAGAAAAUGACGGUAGCAUAUGAAUAAGCACCAGCUAACUCCGUGCCAGCAGCCGCGGUAAUACGGAGGGUGCAAGCGUUACUCGGAAUCACUGGGCGUAAAGGACGCGUAGGCGGGUUGGAAAGUCAGGUGUGAAAUCCUACAGCUUAACUGUAGAACUGCACUUGAAACUUCUAAUCUAGAGUAUGGGAGGGGGAGAUGGAACUAGUGGUGUAGGGGUAACAUCCGUAGAUAUCACUAGGAAUACCUAAAGCGAAGGCGAUCUCCUGGAACAUUACUGACGCUAAGGCGUGAAAGCGUGGGGAGCAAACAGGAUUAGAUACCCCGGUAGUC
Molecule: ribosomal RNA, 439 nt
Filed under: uncultured bacterium
Lineage: Bacteria
Description: partial 16S ribosomal RNA
Rfam family: Bacterial small subunit ribosomal RNA
Source: RNAcentral